ACUCCUACGGGAGGCAGCAGUGGGGAAUAUUGCACAAUGGGCGCAAGCCUGAUGCAGCCAUGCCGCGUGUGUGAAGAAGGCCUUCGGGUUGUAAAGCACUUUCAGUCGUGAGGAAGGUAGUGUAGUUAAUAGCUGCAUUAUUUGUACGUUAGCGACAGAAGAAGCACCGGCUAACUCCGUGCCAGCAGCCGCGGUAAUACGGAGGUGCAAGCGUUAAUCGGAAUUACUGGGCGUAAAGCGCAUGCAGGUGGUUUGUUAAGUCAGAUGUGAAAGCCCGGGGCUCAACCUCGGAAUAGCAUUUGAAACUGGCAGACUAGAGUACUGUAGAGGGGGUAGAAUUUCAGGUGUAGCGGUGAAAUGCGUAGAGAUCUGAAGG
RNAcentral lists this ribosomal RNA (376 nucleotides) under uncultured bacterium. RNAcentral describes it as "bacterial SSU rRNA". It matches the Rfam family "Bacterial small subunit ribosomal RNA", at positions 335 to 704 of the family's 1533-position model. The record is from RNAcentral.